UAGCUAGUUGGUGAGGUAACGGCUUACCAAGGCGACGAUCUGUAGCGGGUCUGAGAGGAUGAUCCGCCACACUGGAACUGAGACACGGUCCAGACUCCUACGGGAGGCAGCAGUGGGGAAUUUUGGACAAUGGGGGCAACCCUGAUCCAGCCAUGCCGCGUGAGUGAAGAAGGCCUUCGGGUUGUAAAGCUCUUUCGGCCGGGAAGAAAUCGCAUGGGCCAAUACCCUGUGUGGAUGACGGUACCGGAAUAAGAAGCACCGGCUAACUACGUGCCAGCAGCCGCGGUAAUACGUAGGGUGCGAGCGUUAAUCGAAAUUACUGGGCGUAAAGCGUGCGCAGGCGGUCUUGUAAGACAGGCGUGAAAUCCCCGGGCUCAACCUGGGAACUGCGUUUGUGACUGCAAGGCUAGAGUACGGCAGAGGGGGGUGGAAUUCCACGUGUAGCAGUGAAAUGCGUAGAGAUGUGGAGGAACACCAAUGGCGAAGGCAGCCCCCUGGGUCGACACUGACGCUCAUGCACGAAAGCGUGGGUAGCAAACAGGAUUAGAUACCCUGGUAGUCCACGCCCUAAACUAUGUCAACUAGGUGUUGGGUGGGUAAAACCAUUUAGUACCGUAGCUAACGCGUGAAGUUGACCGCCUGGGGAGUACGGCCGCAAGGUUAAAACUCAAAGGAAUUGACGGGGACCCGCACAAGCGGUGGAUGAUGUGGAUUAAUUCGAUGCAACGCGAAAAACCUUACCUACCCUUGACAUGCCAGGAACUUGCCAGAGAUGGCUUGGUGCCCGAAAGGGAGCCUGGACACAGGUGCUGCAUGGCUGUCGUCAGCUCGUGUCGUGAGAUGUUGGGUUAAGUCCCGCAACGAGCGCAACCCUUGUCGUUAAUUGCCAUCAUUUAGUUGGGCACUUUAGCGAGACUGCCGGCGACAAACCGGAGGAAGGUGGGGAUGACGUCAAGUCCUCAUGGCCCUUAUGGGUAGGGCUUCACACGUCAUACAAUGGUCGGUACAAAGGGUCGCCAAGCCGCGAGGUGGAGCCAAUCCCAGAAAGCCGAUCGUAGUCCGGAUUGCAGGCUGCAACUCGCCUGCAUGAAGUCGGAAUCGCUAGUAAUCGUGGAUCAGCAUGUCACGGUGAAUACGUUCCCGGGUCUUGUACACACCGCCCGUCACACCAUGGGAGCGGGUUCCGCCAGAAGUAGGUAGCCUAACCGCAAGGAGGGCGCUUACCACGGCGGGGUUCGUGACUGGGGUGAAGUCGGAACAAGGUAGCCGUAGGGGAACCUGCGGCUG
This 1287-nucleotide ribosomal RNA is filed under the name metagenome. Its description in RNAcentral is "bacterial SSU rRNA". It matches the Rfam family "Bacterial small subunit ribosomal RNA", at positions 242 to 1520 of the family's 1533-position model. The record is from RNAcentral.